Mya arenaria is the source of this 332-nucleotide long non-coding RNA. RefSeq lists it as uncharacterized. The transcript has 4 exons. The record is from RefSeq and is a predicted model, not a curated record. NCBI's taxonomy places the organism in Eukaryota, Metazoa, Mollusca, Bivalvia, Myida, Myidae.
AAAAAAAGAAAACGGAGGGAUUUCUUUGAAACAAAAUUAAAUGCGUCGAUGAUGACGAAUGGAUGUGGAUAAUGUUAGGAUUAUCUCAUGCGCGGUUCUGUAAGGCCCGGGGGAUGAUGACGAACCAGCCAGAUAUUAAAUUGGUGUACCGCAACGUCUGAUUCUGGUGUGCCAAUAAGUUUAUCCACAAAGCAGUCAAGCAACGUGAGACGACGACAUGCAGCUAUGAAUCAGAUACUUCAGGUGGAUGAAGAUGUUAGUCACUCCUAGAACUUGCAUAGUGGACUUGCCAGGUAAAUGGGCUUCCUUUUAGACAUCAUCGAAAUGUAAAG